Molecule: ribosomal RNA, 253 nt
Filed under: uncultured bacterium
Lineage: Bacteria
Description: partial 16S ribosomal RNA
Rfam family: Bacterial small subunit ribosomal RNA
Source: RNAcentral
UACGAAGGGGGCUAGCGUUGUUCGGAAUUACUGGGCGUAAAGGGCGCGUAGGCGGUCUUGUAAGUCAGAUGUGAAAACCCCGGGCUCAACCCGGGAAUAGCAUUUGAUACUGCGAGGCUUGAGUCCGGGAGAGGAUGGCGGAAUUCCCAGUGUAGAGGUGAAAUUCGUAGAUAUUGGGAAGAACACCGGUGGCGAAGUCGGCCAUCUGGACCGGCACUGACGCUAAGGCGCGAAAGCGUGGGGAGCAAACAGG